Molecule: ribosomal RNA, 998 nt
Filed under: Circeis spirillum
Lineage: Eukaryota; Metazoa; Annelida; Polychaeta; Sabellida; Serpulidae
Description: eukaryotic LSU rRNA
Rfam family: Eukaryotic large subunit ribosomal RNA
Source: RNAcentral
GCGGAGGAAAGAACUAACAAGGUAUUCCCUUAGUAACGGCGAGUGAAGCGGGAUGAGCCCAGCACCGAAUCUCCCGGCCGUAUGGCCGUGGCGACCUGUGGUGUUUGGGAGUGUCGUUGGUGUGCUGUCGGAUGCUCAAGUCCCCUUGAAUGGGGCAUACGUCCAUAGAUGGGUGCAAGGCCCGUAGAGCUGACGACGGCGCACCUCUGGCGCUCUCUGGAGUCGGGUUGCUUGAGAAUGCAGCCCAAAGUGGGUGGUAAACUCCAUCUAAGGCUAAAUAUAUGCACAAGACCGAUAGCAAACAAGUACCGUGAGGGAAAGUUGAAAAGCACUUGAAGAGAGAGUUGGAAAGUACGUGAAACCGUUUACAGGUAAACGGACGGAUCUCAUUAGUCGGUGACAGAGAUUCAGGCGCGUGCUGGGCGUGCUGCGGCGUUCUUGUCGGCUCGGCGCUGUGUCUUCGGGCGCGGCGCUGGGCGACUCCGCUGUUGGCGCGCUCGGCCGCGACGCACUUCUCUUGUCGUUUACCGAGCGCUACGACCGCCUGCGCGGCAGCCAGAAGGCCUCCUGAGCAAGGUAGCUUGGUGUGCGGCUCACGCCGUCGCCAAGAACUUAUAGGCUCGCGGAGGUUCCAACCGGCCUGCUGCAAGGGUGAGGACUGUCAACGUGUCGUGCGGUGCCGUCUGGGCGACGCCGUCGUGUGGAGACUGGCGAGGACUGCUUGCAGUGCUCGUUGACUUCGCGCGGCGGGUCAGUUGCUCGGCGCGGCCCGCGCCGUUGGGUCAGUGGCGUGCAAUGGGCUCUCUGUCCGACCCGUCUUGAAACACGGACCAAGGAGUCUAGCUCAUGCGCAAGUCAAAGGGUGUCUAGUCGAUGUACGAAACCCCAAGGCGUAAUGAAAGUGAAAUUCUUUUGUUAGGUGUGAUCGCGGCCUGAACAACCGCGCGCAGCACCGGCCCGUCCCAAUAGGCCCGCGUUCUGGGGCGAGCAAGAGCGAU